GCUGGCAAUUGCUCUUGUUCAAGAUUGGGGGAGAAAGCAUCAAUCUUCUUCUCGGCACAGAAAUGGCAACGUCAUCUUCUCUACUGAUGAAUCCACUGACUUCUUCAUUCUUGAAAUCCCCAAAACCGGAGUUGUUAUUGCUCUCCUCCUCUACAUCAGAGCCUAUCUUCAAACAGUGCCUGGUGGGUCCCGCUACAUCCCCGUCUCAUCUGAGUCUCAAAUACAAGAAGGACAAGUAUGGUUCCUCUGCUUCUUCUGUGGUGUGCAAAGCAGUGUCCGUUAAGCCACAGACUGAGGUUGAAGGCCUCAACAUUGCUGAGGAUGUCACUCAGCUUAUUGGAAAAACACCUAUGGUUUACCUAAAUAAAAUUGUAAAGGGGUCUGUUGCUAACAUAGCUGCGAAACUUGAGAUCAUGGAACCAUGUUGCAGUGUGAAAGACAGGAUAGGUUAUAGUAUGAUACUUGAUGCUGAGCAAAGAGGAGUUAUAACACCUGGAAAGAGUAUUCUUGUGGAACCUACGAGUGGAAACACAGGCAUUGGCCUUGCAUUUAUAGCUGCUUCAAAAGGGUAUAAACUUAUCCUGACUAUGCCAGCAUCAAUGAGUCUGGAAAGAAGGGUUCUCUUAAAAGCAUUUGGAGCUGAGCUUGUUCUAACUGAUUCAGCAAAGGGCAUGAAGGGAGCAGUUCAGAAAGCUGAAGAAAUUUUGAAAAGCACACCCAAUGCCUUUAUGCUUCAACAAUUUGAUAAUCCUGCAAAUCCUAAGAUACACUAUGAGACAACUGGACCAGAAAUCUGGGAAGAUACAAGAGGGAAAGUGGAUAUCUUUAUUGCAGGUAUUGGAACUGGUGGAACCAUUUCUGGAGUUGGUCAGUUCCUAAAGGAGAAGAAUCCCAACAUUAAGGUUAUUGGUAUAGAACCUUUGGAAAGCAACAUACUUUCAGGUGGAAAGCCUGGUCCUCACAAGAUUCAAGGGAUUGGAGCUGGUUUUGUGCCCAGGAAUUUGGAUCAAGAUGUCGUUGAUGAAGUCAUAGAGAUAUCCAGUGAUGAAGCUGUUGAAACUGCAAAACAAUU
This 1072-nucleotide unclassified non-coding RNA is filed under the name Hevea brasiliensis (rubber tree). Lineage: Eukaryota; Viridiplantae; Streptophyta; Magnoliopsida; Malpighiales; Euphorbiaceae. The record is from RNAcentral.